CUAUACUUGCAAUGGGGGGCGGUGAGCUAACCUGUGCCUUGCCCGCGGUAGGAACGAGUGCUGCCUGCUCUCUCAGGCAAAAUGUCUCUUCACCCUGCUGACGAACGCUAGAGGACACAUGAUUUUGUCAAAAGAAUGAUUAUUAGCAAAUUAUUGGGGGGGGGGGGGCUGCAGCCCCAAGCUCCUCCCGUUGAUACAGCCCUGGAUAGAGUUUAAAUCAGACAAAACAGGAUCGGUAUUUCAACAGCCAAUUUGCUACGGCGCAUGAACAACGCAGUAUAAAGAUUACAAAAAUCAUUAUUGUGUUAAAUGAUGACUGAAAAUGAGAUACAAUUCUAAAGAACAUUCUCGUUUACUGAUAUUUUUGUGUGUGUUUUUGACGUUGUUAAGAUUAUGCAACGCGCCAAAAACAUAGGGGGGCUCAGCCCCUCCAAGUCAACAUGAAAUUUUAACAAGGGGUGCUAAGCACCCUCGAGCCCUCCCUCCACUACACCACUUGACCUAUCUUCUAAGCAAGGAAUUUUUUUUUUGCACUAUGCCUGGGAAGAUUUUUUUUUCUU
This is a non-coding RNA of Paramuricea clavata, 560 nucleotides long. NCBI's taxonomy places the organism in Eukaryota, Metazoa, Cnidaria, Anthozoa, Malacalcyonacea, Plexauridae. The record is from the annotation of a GenBank genome assembly.